CAAUAAGCGGAGGAAAAGAAACUAACAAGGAUUCCCCUAGUAACUGCGAGUGAAGCGGGAAAAGCUCAAAUUUAAAAUCUGGCGGUCUUUGGCUGUCCGAGUUGUAAUCUAGAGAAGUGUUAUCCGCGCUGGACCAUGUACAAGUCUCCUGGAAUGGAGCGUCGUAGAGGGUGAGAAUCCCGUCUUUGACAUGGACUACCAGGGCUUUGUGAUGCGCUCUCAAAGAGUCGAGUUGUUUGGGAAUGCAGCUCAAAAUGGGUGGUAAAUUCCAUCUAAAGCUAAAUAUUGGCGAGAGACCGAUAGCGAACAAGUACCGUGAGGGAAAGAUGAAAAGAACUUUGGAAAGAGAGUUAAACAGUACGUGAAAUUGCUGAAAGGGAAACGCUUGAAGUCAGUCGCGUUGGCCGGGGAUCAACCUUGCUUUUGCUGGGCGUACUUUCCGGUUGACGGGUCAGCAUCAAUUUUGACCAUUGGAUAAAGUCCAGAGGAAUGUGGCAUCUUCGGAUGUGUUAUAGCCCUUGGUUGCAUACAAUGGUUGGGAUUGAGGAACUCAGCAUGCCGCAAGGCCGGGUACUUGUACCACGUUCAUGCUUAGGAUGCUGGCAUAAUGGCUUUAAUCGACCCGUCUUGAAACACGGACCAAGGAGUCUAACAUGCCUGCGAGUGUUUGGGUGGAAAACUCGGACGCGUAAUGAAAGUGAAAGUUGAGAUCCCUGUCGUGGGGAGCAUCGACGCCCGGACCAGACCUUUUGUGACGGAUCCGCGGUAGAGCAUGUAUGUUGGGACCCGAAAGAUGGUGAACUAUGCCUGAAUAGGGUGAAGCCAGAGGAAACUCUGGUGGAGGCUCGUAGCGAUUCUGACGUGCAAAUCGAUCGUCAAAUUUGGGUAUAGGGGCGAAAGACUAAUCGAACCAUCUAGUAGCUGGUCU
This 928-nucleotide ribosomal RNA is filed under the name Hebeloma sp. PDD 103693. RNAcentral describes it as "eukaryotic LSU rRNA". It matches the Rfam family "Eukaryotic large subunit ribosomal RNA", at positions 44 to 957 of the family's 3401-position model. The record is from RNAcentral. Lineage: Eukaryota; Fungi; Basidiomycota; Agaricomycetes; Agaricales; Hymenogastraceae.